UACGAAGGGUGCGAGCGUUGCUCGGAAUUACUGGGCGUAAAGCGUACGCAGGCGGUCUGCCAAGUCAGGCGUGAAAGACCGGGGCUCAACCCCGGGAAGUCGUCUGAAACUGGAAGACUUGAGUACGGGAGAGGGGUGUGGAAUUCCCAGUGUAGAAGUGAAAUUCGUAGAUAUUGGGAGGAACACCAGUGGCGAAGGCGGCGAUCUGGGCUGAUACUGACGCUGAGGUGCGAAAGCGUGGGGAGCAAACAGG
RNAcentral lists this ribosomal RNA (253 nucleotides) under uncultured bacterium. RNAcentral describes it as "partial 16S ribosomal RNA". It matches the Rfam family "Bacterial small subunit ribosomal RNA", at positions 524 to 776 of the family's 1533-position model. The record is from RNAcentral.